AGGACGAACGCUGGCGGCGUGCCUAACACAUGCAAGUCGAGCGAGAUCCAUCCAGUGGCAACACUGGUGAAGAUCUAGCGGCGAACGGGUGAGUAACACGUGAGAAACCUGCCCCGGAGACCGGGAUAACUCGAGGAAACUCGAGCUAAUACCGGAUACCCCCACGAACCGCAUGAUUUGGUGAGGAAAUGCUCCGACGCUCCGGGAGGGUCUCGCGGCCUAUCAGCUAGUUGGUGAGGUAAUGGCUCACCAAGGCUAAGACGGGUAGCUGGUCUGAGAGGACGAUCAGCCACACUGGGACUGAGACACGGCCCAGACUCCUACGGGAGCAGCAGUGGGGAAUCUUGCGCAAUGGGCGAAAGCCUGACGCAGCAACGCCGACGUGGGGGAUGGAAGGCUCUCGGGUUGUAAAACCCCCUUUGAGGAGGACGAAAAUGACGGUACCUCCAGAAGAAGCCCGACAACUACGUGCCAGCAGCCGC
RNAcentral lists this ribosomal RNA (482 nucleotides) under uncultured soil bacterium. RNAcentral describes it as "bacterial SSU rRNA". It matches the Rfam family "Bacterial small subunit ribosomal RNA", at positions 26 to 518 of the family's 1533-position model. The record is from RNAcentral.